AUGGACUGUAGCCUGCCAGGCUCCUCAGUCCAUGAAAUGCCAAUCCUUUCUUCACCGUCUUGAGUCAUCAUCAGAGAAUCUUAGGAUUCUGUGGUUUCUGGGUUGUCCAGCCUGGAAAAUUUGGAAUCCUUUUCCAAAAUGACCUUUCCCUUCUCUUUGCCCUUUAAAUUCAGUUAUUCAAGUCCUGUGGUUUUCAGAGUCAUCACCCAACAUCAAAUUUUCAUUGUUUCACACCUCUCCCGGUUAGUUGAUCUCUGGAAGUAUUCUUCUUUAAUAGCCUUUAGUUCUUAAGAACCUACAACUGGUUCAUUAGUGUUUGUUUCAAAUACAAACUUCCAAGCCUGCUUGGCUCUUUUUUUACUCUUAGAAGUGCUGCGAUCUGUCCCCCUCUUGUCAUUUUUUUUGUUACUUCUGCCAAGCAAAUAUGGCCAUAAAGUCCUUACUCGUUUCUCUUCUCUGCACCUUCCCUGAAUUUCUUGUCUGGGGGAAACUUUGUCUCUACCAAUCAGACUCCCUUUCUCAUGACCCAAUAGUGUCACUUCUGGGAAGCUAGUCCUAGUCUAUACGCCAAGUUUAGCAUAAAUGUUUAUGUUCAGGAGAGCAAUUAUGGAUUGUAGUAAAACACUGGAAACAAUAUAGAUCCAAGCACACUGCUACAGGAUAGGAUUGGUUCAUAUGGUAGACACAAAAAUGCCAGGUAGCCAUUAAAAUGAUGUAGUCUUCUAUUAUUAUGUUGUGGGAAAUUGUGCAAGUUACAUUUUUAGAUUUCAAAAAGGUGGUAGUUCUUCUGGUGACAUGUGGUGGAUGCAAAAACAAUAUGUUUAAAUUCUGCAUUUAAAAAGUAUAAAAAUACCCAGGCUUAUUAUUAGACAAAUAGUAGAGAAAGUCUUGCAUGAACUAAUAUGACAAAGAUACAGUAUGAACAAAUCAUUAUGGUUAACACAGUUCAACCACUUGAGGUCCACAGAAAACAAAAACUUCUGUUAAACUCAUCUUCUUAACUCAUUUAAAAAUGACCUCUUUCCUCUUUUCCUCCUUAGCUUACAAAUCUGUUUUAAUUUACAAAUGCAGUUUAAAGCCGAACAAAAUCUAUACUCAAAUCUUUGAAAGAUGGAACUUGUGUGUUAUUGAAUAAGACAUUUUAAAGUCACAGUAAAUGUUAAAAAGAAAAAUCUGAGGUUUUAUGGCCAAAAUGAGUCUUGACAUCAAAUGCUGAAGAGUGUAAGAUUUCUUCUCUUGAUGCAUCGAUUGACUUUUGUAUGUAAAAGAUUUUUAAGCCUAUGAACUCGAUUAUAUCACUUGUGACAAUAAUUAAAAAAUGCAUAUGAGCAUUUAUAUGUUAGGAUGUACUGUGUGUUUCAUUGAAAGAAAAUGCUGUUUCUUUAAAAAAUAAUUUUAAUUAAGUCAUUUUGAUAAACUUUAUUGGCCCUUCCUCUCAUGAAUUUGAAAUUUGGCACGUUGCUUGGUGACAAAUUGUAAGUGCUUUUCGGUUAGGCAAUCUCCACUCUCCCCACCUACACUUAAAGCAACAGAGAGAUUUUUUAGUUAGCACCCAUUUUAGGACUGGUUCUAGUGAUUGCUCUGUAAAUGUCAGCUAGUUGACUUCCUGUCUGACCUGCUUUGGGCAUUUCCUGCUCAGUAGCAUGUCCACCAGGGGGCGGACUGGGCUUGAGAGGAGAGAAGGAAAGCAAAUUUUUUUCUGGCUACCUUUGUCUUCCCUCUCCCCAGUCCCAGCCUGGUGAAGGCACAGAGCUCCUGGAACACAUGUCCAGCUACAAAGGAACACGUGGGCAACACAAAGGAACCUUUUGUCUUCUGAAGUGAUGGAUGACGUGUGUUUAUACAUUCUCUUCUUAUAGCACACUCAAUGUAGAAGGAAAGGGGGAAGUAUGCUGGUUUACCCAGGACUUAAAAGUGUGUUGACUAUAAAGCAAUUGAGUAAUUACGGGAUUUCUAAUACUUUGGUGUCCUUGGGAACCAGAAUUUUUUGUGUGGCGGGUAGGAGGUACAAAUGUGAUAUGGAAGUUAAAAACCCUUUAGCUCUGAAUUUGAAUAGGAACUAUCAGUUUGAACUCAAGAGGUGCUUUAUUUUCCUAUCCCUAUCCACUGAAAAGAUCUAGAAACAAUCUAGUAGCAAUAAACACUCCUACCACCUAAAUUUUUUUUUUUUUUCACCUAAAUCUUAAAAUACCAUUUUCCAUGAAGGAAACCAGAGCUCGGGGUAGGUCUAGGGUGCAUGUGUGCGUGCUCAGUCCUGUCUGACUCUGCGACCUUAUGAAAUGUAGUCUGCCAGCCUCCUCUGUCCGUGGGCUUCUGCAGGCAAGAAUACUGGAGUGGGUUGCCAUGUCUUCCUCUAGGGAAUCUUCCCAACCCAGGGAUCAAACCUGUGUCUCUUAUGUGUCCUGCAUUGGCAGGUGGGUUCUUUACCUCUAGUGCCCGGUCUAGGGUAGGAGAUAUACAAGGAAAGCAUGGAACUUACCAUACCAGAUAGAAAAGAAGCCAGUAAACAUUAUCAGGGUAAAGUCAAAAGGACUCAGGAGCCAAGCCUAUGGCCAAAGAUGGGAUAAUUUGAGCAUUAUAAGGAUAACUUAAUAAACGUUAAGUAUGUUUAAAUCCUUGAGUUCAUAAUGGGUGUGUGUGUGUGUAACUGAUGGUCACAAAUAAAAAACCAACCUGGUCAUGUUUGAAGGAUGAUAUGAAACCAAAUCAUUAUUUUUUUAAAUAACUAAAACAUUUAUUUGUGCCGGGUUCUAGUUGCGGACCAUGGGGUCUUUGGUUGUGGCAUGUGGGAUCUAGUUCCUUGACCAGGAAUUGGGACUGCUGCAUUGGGAGCUCAGAGUCUUAACCACUCACUGGACCACCAGAAAAGUCCCCAAAACAUUAUAUUGAAGAUGGUAAAUUAAGGAAAAGAAUCAGGCAGUUAUCUUGCUGUACCUGUAUAAACUGUGCCUCAGGGUAAUGAAAACAGAAAAUAAAAGGAGUGUCCCUUUGUAAGGGAAUUCCAAAGAUUAUGACAGAGUUUGAGGAGAGCUUUUCUGAAAUCCCUAACAAAUUAAUGAAUCUAGGCGAUCAACAUCUGGGCCUGGAUUCAAUGGUUAAAUUGAAGAAAAUAGUAGAGGGGUAACCUGUAGAUUAAAAGAGAUAUAAAAGGUAUACAGUUUUUUUUUUUUUUAAUGGAUAAGGUUAGGCUAUAAUGUCUAGGGUUCUGGAUUUAGGUAAUACAGGAAAAAAAAGCAAGGAUGUGAUUAUCAUGAACCAUGGUGUCAAUUUACACCAGGAAGGAGGGACUGUGAAGAUGAGGAACGUGGUGGUGAUGGUGGUGGCAAAGUUUUAGUGUUUGGCAAAGUUCUAUUUUUCUGGGUAAUGACUUCAAGGUUCGAUUUAGUUUAUUAAGCUAUACUUUUAUUUUGUACGGUUUUCUAAAUCUGUGUUUUAGUUUAAAAAAUAAAAGUUUAAUAAAAUGUGUUAACUAUAUUUUAUCAUUUAUCCGGAGCUGCAGGGCAUGCAAUUUUGUUCUAGUUGGCAAAAUCUUUUUUUUUUUUUUAAUGGGGGCUUGUCCAGGCUUUUUAUUUUUUAAAAUUUAAA
Molecule: long non-coding RNA, 3585 nt
Filed under: Bos taurus (domestic cattle)
Lineage: Eukaryota; Metazoa; Chordata; Mammalia; Artiodactyla; Bovidae
Description: long non-coding RNA NONBTAT027375
Source: RNAcentral